AUACGGAGGGUGCAAGCGUUACUCGGAAUCACUGGGCGUAAAGCGCGCGCAGGCGGGCUGAUAAGUUGGAUGUGAAAGCCUACGGCUCAACCGUAGAACUGCAUCCAAAACUGUCAGUCUAGAGUCUGGGAGGGGAAGAUGGAAUUAGUUGUGUAGGGGUAAAAUCCGUAGAGAUAACUAGGAAUACCAAAAGCGAAGGCGAUCUUCUGGAACAGUACUGACGCUGAGGCGCGAAAGCGUGGGGAGCAAACAGGAGUAGAAACCCUAGUAGUCC
This 274-nucleotide ribosomal RNA is filed under the name uncultured bacterium. RNAcentral's name for it is "partial 16S ribosomal RNA". It matches the Rfam family "Bacterial small subunit ribosomal RNA", at positions 523 to 796 of the family's 1533-position model. The record is from RNAcentral.